CCUACGGGUGGCAGCAGUGAGGACUAUUGGUCAAUGGGCGUAAGCCUGAACCAGCCAAGCCGCGUGAGGGAUGAAGGUUCUCUGGAUCGUCAACCUCUUUUAUAAGGGAAUAAAGUGUGGGACGUGUCCUGUUUUGUAUGUACCUUAUCAAUAAGGCUCGGCUAACUCCGUUCCAGCAGCCGCGGUAAUACUGCGGAUCCGAGCGUUAUCCGGAUUUAUUGGGUUUAACGGGUGCGUAGGCGGCCUUUUAAGUCAGCGGUGAAAGUCUGGGGCUCAACCAUAGAAUUGCCGUUGAAACUGGGAGGCUUGAGUAUGUGUGAGGCAGGCGGAAUGCGUGGUGUAGCGGUGAAAUGCUUAGAUAUCACGCAGAA
Molecule: ribosomal RNA, 371 nt
Filed under: uncultured bacterium
Lineage: Bacteria
Description: partial 16S ribosomal RNA
Rfam family: Bacterial small subunit ribosomal RNA
Source: RNAcentral